This 499-nucleotide ribosomal RNA is filed under the name uncultured bacterium. RNAcentral's name for it is "bacterial SSU rRNA". It matches the Rfam family "Bacterial small subunit ribosomal RNA", at positions 28 to 493 of the family's 1533-position model. The record is from RNAcentral.
GACGAACGCUGGCGGCGUGCUUAACACAUGCAAGUCGAACGAAAAGACGGAAAGAGCUUGCUCUUUUCAGAAUUGAGUGGCAAACGGGUGAGUAACACGUAAACAACCUGCCUUCAGGAUGGGGACAACAGACGGAAACGACUGCUAAUACCGAAUAAGUUCCAAGGGCCGCAUGGCCCAUGGAAGAAAAGGUGGCCUCUACCUGUAAGCUAUCGCCUGAAGAGGGGUUUGCGUCUGAUUAGCUGGUUGGAGGGGUAACGGCCCACCAAGGCGACGAUCAGUAGCCGGUCUGAGAGGAUGAACGGCCACACUGGAACUGAGACACGGUCCAGACUCCUACGGGAGGCAGCAGUGGGGAAUCUUCCGCAAUGGGCGAAAGCCUGACGGAGCAACGCCGCGUGAGUGAUGACGGCCUUCGGGUUGUAAAACUCUGUGAUCCGGGACGAAAAGGCAGAGUGCGAAGAACAAACUGCAUUGACGGUACCGGAAAAGCAAGCCA